Molecule: transfer RNA, 70 nt
Filed under: Camelus bactrianus (Bactrian camel)
Lineage: Eukaryota; Metazoa; Chordata; Mammalia; Artiodactyla; Camelidae
Also listed under: 2 other names
Rfam family: tRNA
About the family: Transfer RNA (tRNA) molecules are approximately 80 nucleotides in length. Their secondary structure includes four short double-helical elements and three loops (D, anti-codon, and T loops). Further hydrogen bonds mediate the characteristic L-shaped molecular structure. tRNAs have two regions of fundamental functional importance: the anti-codon, which is responsible for specific mRNA codon recognition, and the 3' end, to which the tRNAs corresponding amino acid is attached (by aminoacyl-tRNA synthetases). tRNAs cope with the degeneracy of the genetic code in two manners: having more than one tRNA (with a specific anti-codon) for a particular amino acid; and 'wobble' base-pairing, i.e. permitting non-standard base-pairing at the 3rd anti-codon position.
Source: Rfam by way of RNAcentral
GGGUACAGCUCAGUGGUAGAGCACAUGCUUAGCAUGCACGAGGUCCUGGGUUCAAUCCCCAGUGCAUCCA